This 377-nucleotide long non-coding RNA is filed under the name Marmota monax (woodchuck). Lineage: Eukaryota; Metazoa; Chordata; Mammalia; Rodentia; Sciuridae. The record is from RNAcentral.
AGAGUGGGGUCCAUUAUGCCAUAUAAGUUCAUGCACAUAACAUACUUUGAUCAAUUUCAUUCCCCAUACCUUCCCUUUUCUCUCCCCUCCUCCCUCCCCCAGCUACUUGCUGUAUUCUACUGGGCUCCCUUCCAUUAUUGUUAUUUUAAUUAGGCAGCACCAAGGUUUUAUGGAAAAUUAAAGGGAGCUGCGAUUCAUAAAAUCGGAGCUAAAAUGAUUUGAAGCAGGACAAAAGAAAAAGAAUAAAAUGAAUCAAGAGAAUGGUUUAGGACUAAAGUCAAGAAUGUGUCAAAAGCUUAAAUGAUACUGAUGAGAGCCCGUGUUUUGAAAGCAGAGAGUCAACACAAGACUAUUGGUAAGUUUGAAAAGUAGCCUUG